GGCGGCGUGCUUAACACAUGCAAGUCGAACGGUGAAGCGCUUGCCUUUUUGGUGGGUGUGGAUGAGUGGCGAACGGGUGAGUAACACGUGAGUAACCUGCCCUCUUUUCUGGAUAACCUCAUGAAAGUGGGGCUAAUACGGGGUAUUCCGGGUCUGUCGCAUGGCGGGUUUGGGAAAGAUUGCGCCUUUGGGUGUUUUCGGUGGGGGAUGGGCUCGCGGCCUAUCAGCUUGUUGGUGGGGUGAUGGCCUACCAAGGCGGUGACGGGUAGCCGGCCUGAGAGGGUGGACGGCCACACUGGGACUGAGACACGGCCCAGACUCCUGCGGGAGGCAGCAGUGGGGAAUAUUGCACAAUGGGCGCAAGCCUGAUGCAGCGACGCCGCGUGAGGGAUGGAGGCCUUCGGGUUGUGAACCUCUUUCGCCAGUGAAGCAGGCCUGCUUCCUGUGUGGGUGGGUUGACGG
Molecule: ribosomal RNA, 462 nt
Filed under: Actinomyces sp. oral taxon C25
Lineage: Bacteria; Bacillati; Actinomycetota; Actinomycetes; Actinomycetales; Actinomycetaceae
Description: bacterial SSU rRNA
Rfam family: Bacterial small subunit ribosomal RNA
Source: RNAcentral